Small nucleolar RNA from Caenorhabditis elegans, 126 nucleotides. The record is from Ensembl. NCBI's taxonomy places the organism in Eukaryota, Metazoa, Nematoda, Chromadorea, Rhabditida, Rhabditidae.
GAGACUGUAAUGGGUUCCGAAAGGAUGAAAAUCCUCAAAGUUCCUGAUGUGGCCGCAUCAAAGCACAGGUCGGAUAUGAUUGUAGUGAGAUAUAAUAAAAAUCAUUUAAAGACAUAAAAAUAAACA